RNAcentral lists this transfer RNA (67 nucleotides) under Marmota monax (woodchuck). RNAcentral describes it as "tRNA.Ala". Lineage: Eukaryota; Metazoa; Chordata; Mammalia; Rodentia; Sciuridae. The record is from RNAcentral.
GGUUGUAGCUCAGUGUUAGAGUGCUUGCCUCGCAUGCAUAAGAUACUGGGUUCGGUUCUUAGCACCA